This is a long non-coding RNA of Ornithorhynchus anatinus (platypus), 536 nucleotides long. RefSeq lists it as uncharacterized. The record is from RefSeq and is a predicted model, not a curated record. Lineage: Eukaryota; Metazoa; Chordata; Mammalia; Monotremata; Ornithorhynchidae. The transcript has 2 exons.
CACAUUGAGUAAGCACCUCCUGCACUGGGCUACAGUAAGAGCAGCUUACUGGCACCAUGACCACCUGUAAUCUCUGGGAAAUAAGGCCUCGGGAUCCCUAAAAUGAUUCUAGACAAAUCACUGUCAACUGAAUUUUUAAUGCUCUCAGGGAAGAAGGCCCUGAGAUUUUCUCCCCAUUCUCCUCCCUGAGCAAGUCCCCAGGACACCAAAUGGGUUCUUAUUCAGAGUUAAAGUACCACUCUGUGUCAAAUCGCACACUAAUGCACGCUCCAGUUUCGCCAUCCUGCCUUCCCCCCUCUCUUUUAAGAGGAUGGUGACCACCACUAAUAUGGGCCAGACUGAAGUACUGCAGAAGAAAUGAAAACUUCUUUGAGCCUUGAAGACCAGCUCAGACAAGCUUCUACUUUCACCGGAAGGUGCUGUGGCUCCUGCCUUUUCCAAGGAGGAAGGAACACUGUUGUUAUCAGAGCAUCAAGUUCUCCAUUAUGGUAUAAUUAUUCAAUAAUCUUGAAAGUCUCCGACAGUAAUCUCUGGAA